AGCCAUUUUCUAAUUGAAAAAUGUUUACCCAAUUCAAGUGAAUCUUUCUCAACCAAUUGCACCCCAUCAAGAGGGGGCCUGAACACAAUACGACAAUCAGUGGUAACUGAACCACCAGAACUGAAGCUGUACUCUCAGUCUGAAAUGCUAAAUGUGCAGCUUGUGAAAGAAAAUUCAGCUUGUAAGUUCCUGUUUUAACCAAAUCAUUUGAAGGGGACAUUCAGCUCAUUCAUCAUCCAUAAGGAAAGAGUUUAGUAUUUUCAAUGAAAUAGGAAUAUUGAUUUUUCUUUGCUUGCAAGUGUAAAAGCUGUCCAAAGUCAAGAAUUACAUUGUUGGAACACAGAAGUGAAUUUUUACAGCUUGGACUAAAAGCCUUCUUGACAGCAUUCGUUCAGAGGUUUCAAACCCAAAAACUUGCUUUAACAGGAUGGUUGUGUGACAGUGAUCACCAAGUCGGACCAUCAGCUUCAGACUGAACUCCAGAGAAAUUUAUUCCUGGUGGACAACUAUUCAUACUGUAUCAGCUAAAAGCAUUAAAUCAAAUGUUAACCUUGAUAUCAAAUGAGAACUGUUUCCCCAGCCCUAUGAACACAUAUAUAAUAUAUAUAUAAUCUAAAUUUAUAGCACAGAAGGAGGGCUUUUGGCCCAUCGUUUGCAUGAUAAUUGAAAUGUGAAAAUCUGCUGACUUUACAGUUUUGUGAACUGUUGCCCUGUUUCCAGUUAAGACAUGUCCUUUAUGUACAAUUUCAGGAAAACUGUGACAUAAAGGAAUAGCCUCCUUGGCUUAUUCUUCAGUUCAGAAAAGUAUGUAAUUUAAAAAAAAGCUUUUCCUCUUCUCAUAACGUUCAAAUGAUUUAAUCAUGAUUUAAUCAAAAAACACAGUGGAAGUCUUCCUUCUAUAGGACCAUUAUUUACAGACAUUUGGUCUUUGGUAAGAUAUAUUUGGGUGGAAAUGUUUUUGAUGGCAGUAACAUAAUAGAACUAUCAAAAGGUAUUAGUUUGCAAUUCACAAUGAAUAAUCGGUGCGGAGAUUUGUGCUCAGAUUUUAUAACAGGAGAUAUCGUGAUUUAAGAAAUGUACUAAGACCUGAACAAAGUUGGCAGAAUGCCAAUGUAGAAAAUACAUCAUUUGAG
Non-coding RNA from Chiloscyllium plagiosum (whitespotted bambooshark), 1133 nucleotides. The record is from RefSeq and is a predicted model, not a curated record. NCBI's taxonomy places the organism in Eukaryota, Metazoa, Chordata, Chondrichthyes, Orectolobiformes, Hemiscylliidae.